Ophiostoma piceae is the source of this 81-nucleotide transfer RNA. It matches the Rfam family "tRNA". From Rfam's summary of the family: Transfer RNA (tRNA) molecules are approximately 80 nucleotides in length. Their secondary structure includes four short double-helical elements and three loops (D, anti-codon, and T loops). Further hydrogen bonds mediate the characteristic L-shaped molecular structure. tRNAs have two regions of fundamental functional importance: the anti-codon, which is responsible for specific mRNA codon recognition, and the 3' end, to which the tRNAs corresponding amino acid is attached (by aminoacyl-tRNA synthetases). tRNAs cope with the degeneracy of the genetic code in two manners: having more than one tRNA (with a specific anti-codon) for a particular amino acid; and 'wobble' base-pairing, i.e. permitting non-standard base-pairing at the 3rd anti-codon position. NCBI's taxonomy places the organism in Eukaryota, Fungi, Ascomycota, Sordariomycetes, Ophiostomatales, Ophiostomataceae. The record is from Rfam.
GUCGUGGUGGCGGAGUGGUUAACGCGACAGACUCGAAAUCUGUUUCUUUCGGGAGCAUAGGUUCGAAUCCUAUCCACGACG